AGCAGCCGCGGUAAUUCCAGCUCCAAUAGCGUAUAUUAAAGUUGUUGCAGUUAAAAAGCUCGUAGUUGAAUUUUAGGCCUGACCAGGCGGUCCGUCUCGGGCGAGUACUGUCCUGUUGUCGGAUCUAUCCUUCUGGUGAGCCGGUAUGUCCUUCACUGGGCGUGUCGGGGAACCAGGACCAUUACCUUGAAAAAAUUAGAGUGUUUAAAGCGAGCUUUUGCUUGAAUAGAUUAGCAUGGAAUAAUAGAAUAGGACGUUGGUUCUAUUUUGUUGGUCUAGGACCACCGUAAUGAUUAAUAGGGAUAGUUGGGGGCAUUAGUAUUCAAUUGUCAGAGGUGAAAUUCUUGGAUUUAUUGGAGACUAACUACUGCGAAAGCAUUUGCCAAGGAUGUUUUCAUUAAUCAAGAACNAAAGUUAGGGGAUCGAAGACAAUCAGAUACCGUCGUAGUCUUAACCAUAAACUAUGCCGACUAGGAAUCGAGCGACGUUCUCUUCAUGACUCG
This 503-nucleotide ribosomal RNA is filed under the name uncultured fungus. RNAcentral describes it as "SSU rRNA". It matches the Rfam family "Eukaryotic small subunit ribosomal RNA", at positions 569 to 1078 of the family's 1831-position model. The record is from RNAcentral. Lineage: Eukaryota; Fungi.